ACCAGGACUUCGGUCCUGGGGACAGCGGCGAACGGGUGAGUAACACGUGGGUAAUCUGCCCUCGAUUCUGGGAUAGCCCGGGGAAACCCGGAUUAAUACCGGAUAGCCUUUCGAGCUCUCGGGCUUGAAAGAAAAGGUAGCUUCGGCCUCCGAUCGAGGAUGAGCCCGCGGUGGAUUAGCUUGUUGGCGGGGUAAUGGCCCACCAAGGCGACGAUCCAUAGCUGGUCUGAGAGGACGAUCAGCCACACUGGGACUGAGACACGGCCCAGACUCCUACGGGAGGCAGCAGUGGGGAAUCUUGCGCAAUGGGCGAAAGCCUGACGCAGCGACGCCGCGUGGGGGAAGAAGGCCUUAGGG
This 357-nucleotide ribosomal RNA is filed under the name uncultured bacterium. RNAcentral describes it as "bacterial SSU rRNA". It matches the Rfam family "Bacterial small subunit ribosomal RNA", at positions 71 to 422 of the family's 1533-position model. The record is from RNAcentral.